UUUUUAGCUGUUAGGAUGAUAUAUAUUUAAACCAUUUCUGUCAUAGCUCCAAAUUUUGCAUCUUUUGAAUUUCAUGUGUUAUCUGAAAAAAACCUUUUUUUUUUUCUAAUUUUAUUUUAAGUGAUGUCUCUUUUGAGAUAAACCACUUCAUUAAGGCUUUGGGGAAGAGGACAUUGCAUUUUUCUAACCUGAUGAGUUGGAAAGAGUCACAACAGACAGAGAAAAUGAGUGUCGAUUAACCAUCCACAAACGCUACCUUGACCCAGCUGCCCCCUGGAACUUCAGCGUGGUGUUUGUGGCUGAACUACCUUUUCCAGCUAGUGAAUAAAAUUUUUGUGUCAAAAACGUCA
Molecule: long non-coding RNA, 350 nt
Organism: Lonchura striata (white-rumped munia)
Lineage: Eukaryota; Metazoa; Chordata; Aves; Passeriformes; Estrildidae
Source: RefSeq, a predicted model, not a curated record